This 22-nucleotide microRNA is filed under the name Parasteatoda tepidariorum (common house spider). RNAcentral describes it as "pte-miR-11941-3p". Lineage: Eukaryota; Metazoa; Arthropoda; Arachnida; Araneae; Theridiidae. The record is from miRBase by way of RNAcentral.
ACAUUCUUGGCAGUUGAGCAUU